GUAUUAAAGGCAACGCUGCCCAGUGAGAAAUUAAACGGCCGCGGUACCCUAACCGUGCAAAGGUAGCAUAAUCAUUUGUCUAUUAAUUGUAGACCUGUAUGAAAGGCAAAAUGAGAGCCCAACUGUCUCUUAUAACAAAUCAAUUAAACUGAUCUUCUAGUACAAAAGCUAGAAUACCACCAUAAGACCAGAAGACCCUGUGAAGCUUUAACUAACCUAUUAAACCUAAUAAUAGCCACUUUAGGUUGGGGCGACCUUGGAAUAAAAAAGAACUUCCAAUCUAUGACUUCCUCAUAAACUAAGGCAAACAAGCCAACACCAGACCCAGUAUAACUGAUAAUUGAAAUAAGUUACUCCAGGGAUAACAGCGCUAUCUUCUUUAAGAACCCAUAUCAAAAAGAAGGUUUACGACCUCGAUGUUGGAUCAGGACACCCCAGUAAUGCAACCGUUACUAAAGGUUCGUUUGUUCAACGAUUAACAGUCCUACGUGAUCUGAG
This 498-nucleotide ribosomal RNA is filed under the name Bothrops bilineatus (green jararaca). RNAcentral's name for it is "partial 16S large subunit ribosomal RNA". It matches the Rfam family "Bacterial large subunit ribosomal RNA", at positions 1843 to 2609 of the family's 2925-position model. The record is from RNAcentral. Lineage: Eukaryota; Metazoa; Chordata; Lepidosauria; Squamata; Viperidae.